Long non-coding RNA from Bos indicus x Bos taurus (hybrid cattle), 1190 nucleotides. The record is from Ensembl. NCBI's taxonomy places the organism in Eukaryota, Metazoa, Chordata, Mammalia, Artiodactyla, Bovidae.
AAUGAAAACACUAAGGAAGAUGACCUUUCAGUGCAACGAGAUGAAAAUGACCCAGCACUAAUAAAUCUUAGCCAGUGUGCUAAUAAGCCUGUGAAGCAGAAGAAAGAGACAGGGUAAAAUGAAAUCACUUAAUGGUGACUCAAGAAAAUGGAUUAAACACUGGGAAAAAACUGAAUGAUUAAUAUGUCAGUUACAAGUUAACUAAAAAAUAUUUAAGGCUGAAAUAAAAGUAGUGUUAUAGCCGACCAGGUAACUAAUGUUUCACCCUAGGACUAAAUUUUUAAUGAGAGUGAUUGCUAAGAGAAAUUUCUUUUAAAUUUGUACAUAUAGAGCCAUUAUUUUCCUUCCAGUGGAUUUUAAGAGUAGCUAUUGUGAAAUUAAAUAAAAUGACUUUAGUAUGCUGUAUGUGAAUUUUCUCAACCACUUUGAGGUGAAAGGCAUUUGUUCUGUUUUUCCUGCCUGCUAAAGUUACAGUUAUGCAGUGGCCCUACAGCUGCUGGGCUUGGAUGACGGGACUGGGCCCAGUAACAGGGAUCCUGUCCUGAUGAGGGGGACCUACUUGUCCUUUCUGUAUCUGCGUCACCUGAGGAUCCGGGAGCUGCAGCGCAUCUGCUUAGGAAUUCUGAACUAUUUUAGAUCUGUUGAGCGAACACUGACGAUCAACACUUCAGGCCUUACCUUGGUUUCAGGGAGCCUGGUCCCUACCUCAGAAGACAGUUCCUGGGUAAAUAAAGCAAAAGGAGGCAUGGGCACCUCGCAAGGCCUAGGCGCUCACCACUAUGCCCACGGGACACCUGCCGAGCACAGGGUCACAAAGAGGGCAGCAAGUCACAUAUUGACCAGGACUGGGGAUGGACCCAUGCAGGUGUGGACAGAUUUGCUGUGCUGUAUGACAUGUGGACUUGGGAAGCAACUCUUCUAGAAAGCAAGCGCCAGCUUCUUGACAGUUACUUUGAAGCCUACCAGCAUGCAUUGGACCCAGAGGAGAGAUUUGCCUUAGCACAAGUGAUCACAGACAUCAUGCACAGGUGCCCAAGGUUUGACUUCAGUCAUCCUUACUUCAUUAAGGCCUACCGAGAGGAAUGCACCUGCCUGAGGCUUCACCUGCAGCUGGUGAGGGGCAUCCUCAAUCAGCACGUGAGUAUAUUUGGUUUUUUUUAAGAUUCCAUGUGGGAAGAGGAUGGAAAACA